GACGAACGCUGGCGGCGUGCUUAACACAUGCAAGUCGAGCGGUAAGGCCCUUUCGGGGGUACACGAGCGGCGAACGGGUGAGUAACACGUGGGUGACCUGCCCUCAGCUCUGGGAUAAGCCUGGGAAACUGGGUCUAAUACUGGAUAUGACUCCACGGUGCAUGUCGUGGGGUGGAAAGCCUUGUGCGGCUGAGGAUGGGCCCGCGGCCUAUCAGCUUGUUGGUGGGGUGAUGGCCUACCAAGGCGACGACGGGUAGCCGGCCUGAGAGGGCGACCGGCCACACUGGGACUGAGACACGGCCCAGACUCCUACGGGAGGCAGCAGUGGGGAAUCUUGCGCAAUGGGCGAAAGCCUGACGCAGCGACGCCGCGUGAGGGAUGACGGCCUCGGUUGUAACGUACUUCUA
Molecule: ribosomal RNA, 407 nt
Filed under: uncultured bacterium
Lineage: Bacteria
Description: bacterial SSU rRNA
Rfam family: Bacterial small subunit ribosomal RNA
Source: RNAcentral